AGUCACUGACAUUAGAUACCCGCGUAGUCCUAGCCGUAAACGAUACUCGCUAGGUGUCGGCCACGGUGCGACCGUUGUCGGUGCCGUAGGGAAGCCGUGAAGCGAGCCACCUGGGAAGUACGGCCGCAAGGCUGAAACUUAAAGGAAUUGGCGGGGAGCACCACAACGGGUGGAGCUUGCGGUUUAAUUGGAUUCAACGCCGGAAAUCUUACCGGGACCGACAGCAACAUGAAGGCCAGGCUGAAGACUUUGCCGGAUUAGCUG
RNAcentral lists this ribosomal RNA (264 nucleotides) under uncultured archaeon. RNAcentral's name for it is "partial 16S ribosomal RNA". It matches the Rfam family "Archaeal small subunit ribosomal RNA", at positions 715 to 982 of the family's 1478-position model. The record is from RNAcentral.